CUCCCUGUGCGUUCCCAGGCCCUCAGCGCUUCUUUCCCGGGUGCCACGCCAAUUGUUGGGAAGACUGACCACUCCCCGCCUCCCCGCACCGUGGUUCCGGAGUGACCCUUCCACCGCGCCAGAGCAGGCUGCACUGGAGUCCGGGGCCAAGGCCCUGCACUGGCUGAGCCGAGGCCAGGCAGGGAAGAAAGAUCCCCGAGGGGGACAUUGGGACCGGUAAUCCCCGCCGUCCACAGCUCUCCCGCCCUCCAGCCCCAAGAGCAGAGCUGUAGCUGGCCCCAGGGCCCUCGAGAUGCCCCAGGCUGGAGGCAAAGGACAGAGGCAAAGGUCAGAAGGUCUGGUGCUGCUUGCAAAGACUGUCCUCGCACGUGCUGGGGGAGGGCAGCCUUUGAGGCUGGUGCCCUAAGUCCCCCAUUCCCCCUCUUCUCCCCCCCCGCCCCCCUCCUCCAGCUCUCCCCCCACCUCUGGGAGAGAGGCAGCACCCAUCUGGGUAGGUGCCUGCGACUCUCCCCGUGGCUGUGAUCUUGGGCCACUCUGGCCUGUGAGGGGGGGACUGGGACUGCUCUGGGGGGCUGUGAGGAUCGGAGAGAUGCUCCCGGUUCUUCAUGCACAUGGGGUGGAUCUGGGCAGCUGGGAGGGUCCUCCCGGCUGUGUGAUCUUCAGAAAGGCCCUUCCCUCUCUGGACCUUGUUUUCCUGAGUACGUUCGGGUUGGGUGGAGGCCCAGCAGUCUGGGGUAGGCACUGGGAGGCCGAGCUGGGUUCCAGGAGGGAAGAGGUGUGACAGGACACACGUGGAGUGUUUGAAAUGUGGGGAGAACAUACCUGAGAU
Non-coding RNA from Vicugna pacos (alpaca), 829 nucleotides. The record is from RefSeq and is a predicted model, not a curated record. NCBI's taxonomy places the organism in Eukaryota, Metazoa, Chordata, Mammalia, Artiodactyla, Camelidae.